Molecule: ribosomal RNA, 669 nt
Filed under: Escherichia coli
Lineage: Bacteria; Pseudomonadati; Pseudomonadota; Gammaproteobacteria; Enterobacterales; Enterobacteriaceae
Description: partial 23S ribosomal RNA
Rfam family: Bacterial large subunit ribosomal RNA
Source: RNAcentral
GGGUUGCGGACAGUGUCUGGUGGGUAGUUUGACUGGGGCGGUCUCCUCCUAAAGAGUAACGGAGGAGCACGAAGGUUGGCUAAUCCUGGUCGGACAUCAGGAGGUUAGUGCAAUGGCAUAAGCCAGCUUGACUGCGAGCGUGACGGCGCGAGCAGGUGCGAAAGCAGGUCAUAGUGAUCCGGUGGUUCUGAAUGGAAGGGCCAUCGCUCAACGGAUAAAAGGUACUCCGGGGAUAACAGGCUGAUACCGCCCAAGAGUUCAUAUCGACGGCGGUGUUUGGCACCUCGAUGUCGGCUCAUCACAUCCUGGGGCUGAAGUAGGUCCCAAGGGUAUGGCUGUUCGCCAUUUAAAGUGGUACGCGAGCUGGGUUUAGAACGUCGUGAGACAGUUCGGUCCCUAUCUGCCGUGGGCGCUGGAGAACUGAGGGGGGCUGCUCCUAGUACGAGAGGACCGGAGUGGACGCAUCACUGGUGUUCGGGUUGUCAUGCCAAUGGCACUGCCCGGUAGCUAAAUGCGGAAGAGAUAAGUGCUGAAAGCAUCUAAGCACGAAACUUGCCCCGAGAUGAGUUCUCCCUGACUCCUUGAGAGUCCUGAAGGAACGUUGAAGACGACGACGUUGAUAGGCCGGGUGUGUAAGCGCAGCGAUGCGUUGAGCUAACCGGUACUAAU